GGGACUGGGGAGUAGGGAAUAGAGAGUAGGGACUAGAGAGCAGGGGCUAGAGAGUAGGGACUAGAGAGUAGAGAGUAGGGGUUAGAGAGUAGGGGCUAGAGAGUAGGGACUAGAGAUUAGGGGUUGGGGAGUAGGGACUAGAGAGUAGGGACUAGAGAGUAGGGGAUAGAGAGUAGGGGUUGGGGAGUAGGGACUGGAGAGUAGGGACUAGAGAGUAGGGACAACAGAGUAGGGGCUAGAGAGUAGGGACUAGAGAGUAGGGGAUAGAGAGUAGGGACUACAGAGUAGGGGCUAGAGAGUAGGGGCUAGAGAGUAGGGACUAGAGAGUAGGGGCUAGAGAGUAGGGGUUGGGGAGUAGGGACUAGAGAGUAGGGUUUAGAGAGUAGGGCUGGGGAGUGGGAAUAGAGAGUAGGGACUAGAGAGCAGGGGCUAGAGAGUAGUGACUAGAGAGUAGAGAGUAGGGGUUAGAGAGUAGGGGCUAGAGAGUAGGGACUAGAGAUUAGGGGUUGGGGAGUAGGGACUAGAGAGUAGGGACUAGAGAGUAGGGGAUGGAGAGUAGGGACUAGAAAGUAGGGACUAGAGAGUAGGGGAAACAGAGUAGGGGUUGGAGAGUAGAGAGUAUGGGCUAGAGAGCAGGGACUAGAGAGUAGAGAGUAGGGGAUAGAGACUGGGGGAUAGAGAGUAGGGAGUAGAGAGUAGGGACUAGAGAGUAGGGGUUGGAGAGUAGGGACUGGAGAAGAGGGGUUGGAGAGUAGGGACUAGAGAGUAGGGGAUAGAGAGUAGGGACUAGAGAGUAGGGACUAGAGUAGAGAGUAGGGGCUAGAGAGUAGGGACUAGAGACCAGGGGAUAGAGAGUAGGGGUUGGAGCGUAGGGGAUAGAGAGUAGGGACUAGAGAGUAUGGGAUAGAGAGUAGGGGUUGGAGAGUAGGGACUAGAGAUUAGGGGUUGGGGAGUAGGG
Oncorhynchus tshawytscha (Chinook salmon) is the source of this 958-nucleotide long non-coding RNA. Lineage: Eukaryota; Metazoa; Chordata; Actinopteri; Salmoniformes; Salmonidae. The record is from Ensembl.